RNAcentral lists this ribosomal RNA (218 nucleotides) under uncultured bacterium. RNAcentral describes it as "partial 16S ribosomal RNA". It matches the Rfam family "Bacterial small subunit ribosomal RNA", at positions 116 to 334 of the family's 1533-position model. The record is from RNAcentral.
CAUAGGUAUCUGCCUAGUAGUGGGGGGACAACCUGGUGAAAACCAGGCUAAUACCGCAUAAGAUCUACGGAUGAAAGGAGGCCUCUUCUUGAAAGCUUUCGCUAUUAGAUGAGCCUAUGUCAGAUUAGCUAGUUGGUAGGGUAAUGGCCUACCAAGGCGACGAUCUGUAGCUGGUCUGAGAGGAUGACCAGCCACACUGGGACUGAGACACGGCCCAG